UGUCAGUACCACACGGGACUGGUUUCGGGUUUUCACAUUUAUUGUUUUGUAGUUUGUUCAUGUAUAGUUUUUCUUAUUAAAAAACCAUGAACUUCAACCACGCUGCGUAUUGGUCUGCCUCUCCUUCGACGGAUGAAGCCCGUUACAGGAGAUCAUCAAAUCAUCCUGACCAGUUCACAAAGACCUCAGAGGUUCCUCCAGGCAAAGAAUGUGAGCUACUGGUCUCCAGACAGACACACAGAGAGUCACCCCAACUGACAGACAGUAUCAGUCAGUCCGGGACAGGUCUGAGAACCAGGACAGCAUCGCUCAGUCACCACGCAUCCUGUGUGUGCAGACACACACCCUACUCUGGACCAACACAGCCAGGAUCCAAACAGCCAUGAAUCUCAGAACCCACAGAGAGAACUAGAGAAGGAGGCAGCUCUGCAGCCCUCAGCCACCCCAGAGGAGACUCAGGGCCCUACACCACCCCCACCAGAUCAUAGCCAUGCUCAGAGCCCUGCACCACCCCCACCAGAUCAUAGCCAGGUUCAGAGCCCUGCACCACCCCCACCAGAUCCUAGCCAGGCUCAUAGCCCUACAUCACCCCCACCAGAUCAUAGCCAGGCUCAUAGCCCUGCACCACCCCCACCAGAUCAUAGCCAGGUUCAUAGCCCUGCACCACCCCCACCAGAUCAUAGCCAGGCUCCGAGCCCUGCACCACCCCCACCAGAUCAUGGCCAGGCUCCGAGCCCUGCACCACUCCCACCAGAUCACAGCCAGGCUCAGAGCCCUACACCACUCCCACCAGAUCACAACCAGGCUCAGAGCCCUACACCACUCCCACCAGAUCAUAGCCAGGCUCAGAGCCCUGCACCACCCCCACCAGAUCAUAGCCAGGCUCAGAGCCCUGCACCACCUUAGAGGUACAGCUGGAGCAGCUCCAGAAAACAGACACAGCUCUUCAGACAUACAGACAGAUGAAAUAAUCUCCCAUGGCAGACAGGUCCAGCAGCAGAGGAACACACGCCCACUGAACACUGUCUCACAAAAUCUACUCAUUGGACUACAUUAAAUCAUUAUGCACUUCCAUUUUUUAAAUUAAAGAACACAUUCCAUAUUGCUUCUAGACAAUGAGAAUAAGCAGCCUGGUUUCAUAGACUAGACGUAACAGAGUACAUGCAAUUUUUAAUUUAAAAAAAAUGUAUUUCACCUUUAUUUAACCAGUUAAGCUAGUUGAGAACAAGUUCUCAUUUACAACUGCGACCUGGCCAAGAUAAAGCAAAUCAGUGCGACACAAACAACAACACAGAGUUACACAUGGAAUAAACAAGCAUACAGUCAACACAAUAGAAAAAAAGAAAGUCUAUAUACAGUCUGCAAAUGGCGUGAGGAGGUAAGGCACUAAAUAGGCCACAGUAGCGAAGUAAUUACAAUUUAGCAGAUUAACACUGGAGUGAUAAAUGAGCAGAUGAUGAUGUCAAGUAGUGUGCAAAAGAGCAGAAAAGUAAAUAAAAACAAUAUGGGUAUGAUGUAGGUAGAUUCGGUGGGCUAUUUACAGAUGGGCUAUGUACAGCUGCAGCGAACGGUUAGCUACUCAGAUAGCUG
Molecule: long non-coding RNA, 1590 nt
Organism: Oncorhynchus tshawytscha (Chinook salmon)
Lineage: Eukaryota; Metazoa; Chordata; Actinopteri; Salmoniformes; Salmonidae
Source: Ensembl